Daphnia carinata is the source of this 280-nucleotide long non-coding RNA. RefSeq lists it as uncharacterized. The transcript has 2 exons. NCBI's taxonomy places the organism in Eukaryota, Metazoa, Arthropoda, Branchiopoda, Diplostraca, Daphniidae. The record is from RefSeq and is a predicted model, not a curated record.
UGUCGUUGAGCAAUGCUCGUUACUCAAAAUGAAACUUUUGAAGAACUUAAUAAAUGGCGUCAUUUUUUCGGCCGGUAAUUUCUGGGUUGGACGAAGGAAGACGAUGAACAAAACUGUGGUGCUUUUGUCUAAAACAAAACAAACAUGUUUGUGAAAACGAUGUUACGACAGGAGCUGUAGGCGCCGUUAUUAGCUUGGAACGGAUACAACAACACACUGUUCCAGUCAAACCCUGUAUAUACCAUUCCAUCAGGCGAUUCAGCCCCAAAUCAAAACACAA